This 521-nucleotide ribosomal RNA is filed under the name Staphylococcus aureus. RNAcentral's name for it is "bacterial SSU rRNA". It matches the Rfam family "Bacterial small subunit ribosomal RNA", at positions 1013 to 1533 of the family's 1533-position model. Lineage: Bacteria; Bacillati; Bacillota; Bacilli; Caryophanales; Staphylococcaceae. The record is from RNAcentral.
UUCCCCUUCGGGGGACAAAGUGACAGGUGGUGCAUGGUUGUCGUCAGCUCGUGUCGUGAGAUGUUGGGUUAAGUCCCGCAACGAGCGCAACCCUUAAGCUUAGUUGCCAUCAUUAAGUUGGGCACUAUAAGUUGACUGCCGGUGACAAACCGGAGGAAGGUGGGGAUGACGUCAAAUCAUCAUGCCCCUUAUGAUUUGGGCUACACACGUGCUACAAUGGACAAUACAAAGGGCAGCGAAACCGUGAGGUCAAGCAAAUCCCAUAAAGUUGUUCUCAGUUCGGAUUGUAGUCUGCAACUCGACUACAUGAAGCUGGAAUCGCUAGUAAUCGUAGAUCAGCAUGCUACGGUGAAUACGUUCCCGGGUCUUGUACACACCGCCCGUCACACCACGAGAGUUUGUAACACCCGAAGCCGGUGGAGUAACCUUUUAGGAGCUAGCCGUCGAAGGUGGGACAAAUGAUUGGGGUGAAGUCGUAACAAGGUAGCCGUAUCGGAAGGUGCGGCUGGAUCACCUCCUUU